UGGCCCUUGCAUAAGGCGGCCACACAAAUUUUUGAAGCAUUCUAUAUUUUG
Molecule: small nuclear RNA, 51 nt
Filed under: Pan troglodytes (chimpanzee)
Lineage: Eukaryota; Metazoa; Chordata; Mammalia; Primates; Hominidae
Source: RNAcentral